This 253-nucleotide ribosomal RNA is filed under the name uncultured bacterium. RNAcentral describes it as "partial 16S ribosomal RNA". It matches the Rfam family "Bacterial small subunit ribosomal RNA", at positions 524 to 776 of the family's 1533-position model. The record is from RNAcentral.
UACAGAGGUCUCAAGCGUUGUUCGGAUUCAUUGGGCGUAAAGGGUGCGUAGGUGGCGCGCUAAGUCAGGUGUGAAAUUUCGGAGCUUAACUCCGAAACUGCAUUUGAUACUGGCGUGCUAGAGGACUGGAGAGGAGACUGGAAUUUACGGUGUAGCGGUGAAAUGCGUAGAUAUCGUAAGGAAGACCAGUGGCGAAGGCGGGUCUCUGGACAGUUCCUGACGCUGAGGCACGAAGGCCAGGGGAGCAAACGGG